GCGGGGCCUGCCGCCGCCACCGCCUCAGGGAAGAGGAAGGAGGCCGCGGCUUCGCGUCCCGCCUCUCGCCUGGCUGGCCGUGGGGGGCCUGGACGCAGUGGCCUCCCGAAUCUCCCAGGACCCUAAUAUCGCCCGAGGAUGCUGGGAGGAACGCUGAGCCGACCUCUCCGUUAGGCUGAAGAUUGCACAAACCAUGCUAAUGGCCAGCAUGGAUGGAGGGAGCGUGUGAGAUGUGUGGGGCAGCGUGCUGCAUCUCAGCCAACUCCAGGAGCCAGUUGAUGUGAUGGACUACCUUAAUUGAUUUUUGAAUGUUGAGCCAGCCUUAUGCAUGUGGGAUAAACCCCUGUUGAUCAUGGCUGGCUGGAGUGCAGUGGUGCAAUCAUGGCUCACUGCAACCUCAAAUUCCUGGGCUCAAGGGAUCCUCCUGCCUCAGCCUCCCAAGUAGCUAGGACUACAGGAAGCAUGCUCAUGGCAAUACCCGGAGUCUCCACUGCAAGACCAGAGUGACGGAGGCAGCAGAGCUCCUCAGCAGGCCAGGAGUCUCCAGAGGCACUGCCGAAUGUCUAAGAAGCAACCUCAUUGUAUUCCCAAGACCUGGGAAUCCAGGUCUCGCAGAUACGAUGAUACAAUCUAUAGCCAGGACAUCUCUUCAUGUGUAGUUUUCAAUGAAUACUAGGAUAAGCAACUAUCCCAGUCUUCCCAGGAUUGAGGGGCUUCUCCAGAUGCUGCACUUCUGGUGCUAAAAAUGAGAAACUGAAAUGAAUUAGUCACCCAAGGAAUGCUGACCCUGUGCUAUAUGAUCACAUUUACUCUUUAAAGCAAUGCUUUGAGACAUGAAAGCCAGAUAGGGAAGAAUUUGCAGCCUCAUACUGAUUGGCCAGUUGAGGAGUCAACUCAUCUCUCUUAUAGAAAAAAGAAGAUUACAUUUACGGAAUACAGAAUAUACUGUGCUCUCUACUUACCAAGAGAUUUCUUUCUCUACUGACAACUUUCUGUUGACGUGGUUACUGUGCAGGUUCUGACAGUCGAUUCUUUCCACCUAGUUCACUGCUGAAGCUAUAAUGAUUUCCAUUUUGCAAAAAGAGGAUGAUUACUUAUUAUCUGUGACCAUUUCUCAAUUCCAGAACAAUUGAGCUGCAUAGUCCCUGCAAUCUUAUAAAGGCAUUUGGCCUGGAAGAUGCUCUGCAGCCAUGUGCCAAGAAUAACGGCUAUAGGGACAAUGUUUCAUUAACCCCAAAGCAGCAACCUGAACCUCUUACUGUACAAUAUCUGCUCCGUUCAGAAUUAGCUCGACUUGAGUCACAGGAUGAAGCUUACCAAAAGGAAUUUCCACGUCCAAGGAAGGAACCAAGAUCACUGAGAGGUUAUAGUAUGAAAAGUGAAGAGAAAAAACCUAUUCUAAACAUUUUAUUAAUUGUCAAUAAUUAUUUUAAAAUAUUUAAUAUAGUCUCCUACCUGGUCCACUGGCAUCAAGCUGCCAAAUUUACACGGUCACUUUGGGAAGCCAGCUGGCAGGCAAACAUGGAAAGUGCUGGCUCCUAGCGUAGUGAGAAGACCACAGAUAGAUGGUAAUUUUCUUCUUUGUUUUAUUUUUCUUUUUCUUCUCUCCCUCUUUUUCUUCCCUCUUGCCUUUCCCUCCCAUUGCCCACUUUCUUUUUUUGGCUGCCGAAGAUUUAUUGCCUUUCAGUACUUAUAGAUGAUGUUUUCAUAAGUUCUAAUGAGGUCCCAGCAGUUUUUAACAAUAACAGGACAUUACUGUUCCUAAGAUAUAUUAUGUGUUUUCCCUCAUCUUUCUCCCUUGAAUGAAAUGCUUAGAAGUAGGCUAACCCCCAAUUCCCUUCCCUUUACUAUGAUAAAUGGCUCCAUUACUUAAUAGGGCUAAAUACUCUGCUGUGACUUUUAUACUGCUGAUUUGAAUAAAAUCUUACGAAAAGCUUUUCUCGUGU
This 1946-nucleotide long non-coding RNA is filed under the name Homo sapiens (human). Its description in RNAcentral is "HSALNT0099680". Lineage: Eukaryota; Metazoa; Chordata; Mammalia; Primates; Hominidae. The record is from RNAcentral.